GUAGGGAAUAUUGGGCAAUGGAGGCAACUCUGACCCAGCCAUGCCGCGUGCAGGAUGACGGCCCUCUGGGUUGUAAACUGCUUUUAUACGGGAAGAAAAAUACUACGUGUAGUAUACUGACGGUACCGUAAGAAUAAGGAUCGGCUAACUCCGUGCCAGCAGCCGCGGUAAUACGGAGGAUCCAAGCGUUGUCCGGAUUUAUUGGGUUUAAAGGGUGCGUAGGCGGAUCUUUAAGUCAGUGGUGAAAGCCUGCAGCUUAACUGUAGAAUUGCCAUUGAAACUGAAGAUCUUGAAUGUGGUUAAAGUAGGCGGAAUGUAUCAUGUAGCGGUGAAAUGCUUAGAUAUGAUACAGAACACCGAUAGCGAAGGCAGCUUGCUGAACCAUUAUUGACGCUGAGGCACGAAAGCGUGGGGAGCGAACAGGAUUAGAUACCCCGGUAGUCC
RNAcentral lists this ribosomal RNA (444 nucleotides) under uncultured bacterium. Its description in RNAcentral is "partial 16S ribosomal RNA". It matches the Rfam family "Bacterial small subunit ribosomal RNA", at positions 354 to 796 of the family's 1533-position model. The record is from RNAcentral.